ACGUAGGGUGCGAGCGUUAAUCGGAAUUACUGGGCGUAAAGCGUGCGCAGGCGGUUAUGUAAGACAGAUGUGAAAUCCCCGGGCUCAACCUGGGAACUGCGUUUGUGACUGCAUAACUAGAGUACGGCAGAGGGAGGUGGAAUUCCGCGUGUAGCAGUGAAAUGCGUAGAGAUGCGGAGGAACACCGAUGGCGAAGGCAGCCUCCUGGGCCAGUACUGACGCUCAUGCACGAAAGCGUGGGGAGCAAACAGGAUUAGAUACCCUGGUAGUCCACGCCCUAAACGAUGUCAACUAGUUGUUCGGUGAGGAGACUCAUUGAGUAACGCAGCUAACGCGUGAAGUUGACCGCCUGGGGAGUACGGCCGCAAGGUUA
This 373-nucleotide ribosomal RNA is filed under the name uncultured bacterium. Its description in RNAcentral is "bacterial SSU rRNA". It matches the Rfam family "Bacterial small subunit ribosomal RNA", at positions 525 to 896 of the family's 1533-position model. The record is from RNAcentral.